This is a non-coding RNA of Schizosaccharomyces pombe (fission yeast), 1236 nucleotides long. The record is from the annotation of a GenBank genome assembly. Lineage: Eukaryota; Fungi; Ascomycota; Schizosaccharomycetes; Schizosaccharomycetales; Schizosaccharomycetaceae.
UAAACAAGCCUUCAAAGAGAUCGCGAGCCCAUGCAAUGGUGUGCUCAAUACGGUUAGGAAAGUUCUUCAAAGUACAGAUAGGAAAUGACUUUUCAGGAGGGUCUUGGGAUGAUCCGUACGACUCUGUAAGAUGAGGUACAACAACUUGCGUAUUACCCUUAGUACCCAAAGUACCAGACUCUAAUAAUGGCUUUUCGAAAAAUACACAACGGCGGUCAACAUACAUUCGAGCUUCGACGUUAUCCAAAGCAUUCGUGACUAAAGAUAACUUUUCAAAGAAUUCAUCGCCAAAUAUGCCUUCGCUUUCUGGUCCAACACGUUCUUGAUAUGAAGUUAUUUUACCAGUCAAUGAAGGAUUCAUGAUUGAAACAGCGGUAGAAGCACAUUCGGACUUCAGCUUUCCGACGUCACGAGGACGAAAGAGAAAUUGACGAUUCAAAUUCGAUUUUUCAAUGGAGUCCAUAUCAGUAACAGAAAUAUGACCACUUUCACCAGUAGCGACACCCAUCAUAGCCCAGUUUUUCAGCAUUUCACAUCCAAUAGCGCCAGCACCAACCAAAAACGUACUCAAAGAAGCUAUUUUCUCUUGAAAUUCCGAACCGAAAACAGCGAUUUGCCCAUCGUAUCGACAGCCACGAGGUUUACAAGUUUCUUCACUGAUCGUUACAGAAGAUGGCAAGCUUUCUAAGGAGUCAAAAUAGAAGUAUUGCUUCAAUGGGUAAAAUUUACUGGUGGUAGCUUUCAACACUUCCUGUGCUACAGCACCGCCCAAAAACGCGGACAUUGCAACCAAAUCACCUCUUGCCUGGUAUGAAAUUUCCUUAAUUAGUUUUUCAUCGAGUUCAACAUCAAAUUGAAGUGUGCUUGCAAUUUUCUUACAAAAUUCGAAAAAUUCAGCUGCAUCAAUGUCGUUACGGGGUCGAGGCAAUGAACCUUCAUGCGCAUCGGCAAAUGCUGAAAGGGCCUGGAAAGCAAUGUGGUAUUGUGGAGGUCUCAUCAUUUUACCAAAGUCAGGAUAUACAUAUUCAGGGUCCUUGAGCGAUUCGCGGAGAGAUUUGAAAGAUAUUUUGGUUGGAACUUUAACUUGGGUAAAGACACCAUUGUAACCGGCACUUCCUAAAUCUUUAACAGAUCCGAUAGAAAAGGUAUAUGGACCUUUCACUUCAACUUUACGAGGAGUGCCAUCAUUUAAACCAGGCAUACCCUUCACUUCGGUAAAUUUAACAAAAUCACCAU